Molecule: ribosomal RNA, 497 nt
Filed under: uncultured bacterium
Lineage: Bacteria
Description: partial 16S ribosomal RNA
Rfam family: Bacterial small subunit ribosomal RNA
Source: RNAcentral
GAUGAACGCUGGCGGCGUGCCUAAUACAUGCAAGUCGAGCGAACAGACGAGGAGCUUGCUCCUCUGACGUUAGCGGCGGACGGGUGAGUAACACGUGGAUAACCUACCUAUAAGACUGGGAUAACUUCGGGAAACCGGAGCUAAUACCGGAUAAUAUAUUGAACCGCAUGGUUCAAUAGUGAAAGACGGUUUUGCUGUCACUUAUAGAUGGAUCCGCGCCGCAUUAGCUAGUUGGUAAGGUAACGGCUUACCAAGGCAACGAUGCGUAGCCGACCUGAGAGAGUGGGUGGGGAAACAGGAAGUGAGCCGCGGUCGAGAGGCAGAGGGGAAGCAGCAGGCGGCGCUUUUGUGAAAUGGGCGUGAGCUUGACAGAGCUAUGGGGUGUGAGUAAUGAAAGUUUUGGGAUCGUAAAACUCGGUGAGUAGGGAAGAACAAAUAUGGCAGUGACUAAGCACGUCUUGGCGGUACCGAAUCAGAAAGCGACGGCUAAAUACGUG